GACGAACGCUGGCGGCGUGCCUAAUACAUGCAAGUAGAACGCUGAAGGAGGAGCUUGCUUCUCCGGAUGAGUUGCGAACGGGUGAGUAACGCGUAGGUAACCUGCCUGGUAGCGGGGGAUAACUAUUGGAAACGAUAGCUAAUACCGCAUAAGAGUAGAUGUUGCAUGACAUUUGCUUAAAAGGUGCAAUUGCAUCACUACCAGAUGGACCUGCGUUGUAUUAGCUAGUUGGUGAGGUAACGGCUCACCAAGGCGACGAUACAUAGCCGACCUGAGAGGGUGAUCGGCCACACUGGGACUGAGACACGGCCCAGACUCCUACGGGAGGCAGCAGUAGGGAAUCUUCGGCAAUGGACGGAAGUCUGACCGAGCAACGCCGCGUGAGUGAAGAAGGUUGUCGGAUCGUAAAGCUCUGUUGUAAGAGAAGAACGAGUGUGAGAGUGGAAAGUUCACACUGUGACGGUAUCUGACCAGAAAGGGACGGCUAACUACGUG
This 495-nucleotide ribosomal RNA is filed under the name uncultured bacterium. RNAcentral's name for it is "partial 16S ribosomal RNA". It matches the Rfam family "Bacterial small subunit ribosomal RNA", at positions 28 to 507 of the family's 1533-position model. The record is from RNAcentral.